This 497-nucleotide ribosomal RNA is filed under the name uncultured bacterium. RNAcentral describes it as "partial 16S ribosomal RNA". It matches the Rfam family "Bacterial small subunit ribosomal RNA", at positions 28 to 507 of the family's 1533-position model. The record is from RNAcentral.
GAUGAACGCUGGCGGCGUGCCUAAUACAUGCAAGUCGAGCGAACAGACGAGGAGCUUGCUCCUCUGACGUUAGCGGCGGACGGGUGAGUAACACGUGGCUAACCUACCUAUAAGACUGGGAUAACUUCGGGAACCCGGAGCUAAUACCGGAUAAUAUAUUGAACCGCAUGGUUCUAUAGUGAAAGACGGUUUUGCUGUCACUUAUAGAUGGAUCCGCGCCGCAUUAGCUAGUUGGUAAGGUAACGGCUUACCAAGGCAACGAUGCGUAGCCGACCUGAGAGGGUGAUCGGCCACACUGGAACUGAGACACGGUCCAGACUCCUACGGGAGGCAGCAGUAGGGAAUCUUCCGCAAUGGGCGAAAGCCUGACGGAGCAACGCCGCGUGAGUGAUGAAGGUCUUCGGAUCGUAAAACUCUGUUAUUAGGGAAGAACAAAUGUGUAAGUAACUAUGCACGUCUUGACGGUACCUAAUCAGAAAGCCACGGCUAACUACGUG